AAGUGUAUAGCUUAGUUAGGUAAAGCAGUAGACUUUUAAUCUAUUUAUCUUGGGUUCGAAUCCUAAUACACUUA
Molecule: transfer RNA, 74 nt
Filed under: Hildenbrandia rubra
Lineage: Eukaryota; Rhodophyta; Florideophyceae; Hildenbrandiales; Hildenbrandiaceae
Description: tRNA-Lys
Rfam family: tRNA
About the family: Transfer RNA (tRNA) molecules are approximately 80 nucleotides in length. Their secondary structure includes four short double-helical elements and three loops (D, anti-codon, and T loops).
Source: RNAcentral